This 229-nucleotide ribosomal RNA is filed under the name uncultured bacterium. RNAcentral describes it as "partial 16S ribosomal RNA". It matches the Rfam family "Bacterial small subunit ribosomal RNA", at positions 568 to 796 of the family's 1533-position model. The record is from RNAcentral.
UGUGUAGGCGGGAUAGCAAGUCAGAGGUGAAAUCCUACAGCUCAACUGUAGAACUGCCUUUGAUACUGUUAUUCUUGAGUAUCGGAGAGGUCGCUGGAAUUCGUGGUGUAGCGGUGAAAUGCGUAGAUAUCACGAGGAACACCAGAGGCGUAGGCGGGCGACUGGACGAUUACUGACGCUGAGGCACGAAAGCGUCGGGAGCAAACAGGAUUAGAUACCCUGGUAGUCC